UACGAAGGGUGCAAACGUUGCUCGGAAUCAUUGGGCGUAAAGCGCACGUAGGCGGCUUGCCAAGUCGGACGUGAAAUCCCUCAGCUCAACUGAGGACGUGCAUCCGAAACUGGCGAGCUUGAGUGCUGAAGAGGAUCGCGGAAUUCCCGGUGUAGAGGUGAAAUUCGUAGAUAUCGGGAGGAACACCAGCGGCGAAGGCGGCCACCUGGACGGAUACUGACGCUGAGACGCGAAAGCGUGGGGAGCAAACAGG
This 253-nucleotide ribosomal RNA is filed under the name uncultured bacterium. Its description in RNAcentral is "partial 16S ribosomal RNA". It matches the Rfam family "Bacterial small subunit ribosomal RNA", at positions 524 to 776 of the family's 1533-position model. The record is from RNAcentral.